RNAcentral lists this ribosomal RNA (1138 nucleotides) under uncultured organism. RNAcentral's name for it is "bacterial SSU rRNA". It matches the Rfam family "Bacterial small subunit ribosomal RNA", at positions 201 to 1344 of the family's 1533-position model. The record is from RNAcentral.
GGAAAGAUUUAUUGCUGAGGGAUGAGACUGCGGUCCAUUAGCUUGAUGGUGAGGUAAUAGCUCACCAUGGCGACGAUGGAUAGCCGGCCUGAGAGGGUGACCGGUCACAUUGGGACUGCGACACGGCCCAGACUCCUACGGGAGGCAGCAGCUAAGAAUCUUCCCCAAUGGGCGCAAGCCUGAGGGAGCGACGCCGCGUGGACGAUGAAGGCCUUCGGGUUGUAAAGUCCUUUUCUACAGGAAGAAAGUUUGUGUAACAUCAAGCUGACGGUACUGUAGGAAUAAGCUCCGGCUAAUUACGUGCCAGCAGCCGCGGUAAUACGUAAGGAGCAAGCGUUGUUCGGAAUCAUUGGGCAUAAAGGGUGCGUAGGCGGAUUGUUAAGUUGGAUGUGCAAUUUCAGGGCUCAACUUUGAACUUGCAUCCAAAACUAAUAGUCUAUGAGGUUAGCAGAGGUAAGCGGAAUUUCUGGUGUAGGAGUGAAAUCUAUAGAUAUCAGAAAGAACACCGGCGGCGAAGGCGGCUUACUGGGCUAAACCUGACGCUGAAGCACGAAAGCCAGGGGAGCGAACGGGAUUAGACACCCCGGUAGUCCUGGCCGUAAACGUUGUAUACUAGGUGUAUGAGGCAUCGAUCCCUCAUGUGCCGAAGCAAAUGCAUUAAGUAUACCGCCUGGGGAGUACGGUCGCAAGACUGAAACUCAAAGGAAUUGACGGGGGCCCGCACAAGCGGUGGAGCAUGUGGUUUAAUUCGAUGAUACGCGAGGAACCUUACCAGGGUUCACAUGUAUCUGGCGACGUAAGAGAUUGCGUCUCCCUUUGGGCAGAUACACAGGUGCUGCAUGGUUGUCGUCAGCUCGUGUCGUGAGAUGUUGGGUUAAGUCCCGCAACGAGCGCAACCCCUAUUCACUGUUGCAAACAGGUUAUGCUGUGCGCUCGGUGGAAACUGACUGUGAAAGCAGAAGGAAGGUGGGGAUGACGUCAAAUCCUCAUGGCCCUUAUGCCCUGGGCUACACACGUGCUACAAUGGUCGGUACAAAGAGUUGCUAAACUGCGAGGUGGAGCUAAUCUCAAAAAGCCGAUCUCAGUUCGGAUUGAAGUCUGAAACCCGACUUCAUGAAGUUGGAAUCGCUAGUAAUCG